This 72-nucleotide transfer RNA is filed under the name Roseibacillus sp. RNAcentral describes it as "tRNA-Thr". It matches the Rfam family "tRNA". Rfam says of the family: Transfer RNA (tRNA) molecules are approximately 80 nucleotides in length. Their secondary structure includes four short double-helical elements and three loops (D, anti-codon, and T loops). RNAcentral also lists the same sequence under 1 other name. Lineage: Bacteria; Pseudomonadati; Verrucomicrobiota; Verrucomicrobiia; Verrucomicrobiales; Verrucomicrobiaceae. The record is from RNAcentral.
GCUCAUGUAGCUCAGGGGUAGAGCGCGUCCUUGGUAAGGACGAGGUCGUGGGUUCAAUUCCCACCAUGAGCU